Molecule: ribosomal RNA, 731 nt
Filed under: Pseudomonas sp. 120516_NH_C2_B11
Lineage: Bacteria; Pseudomonadati; Pseudomonadota; Gammaproteobacteria; Pseudomonadales; Pseudomonadaceae
Description: bacterial SSU rRNA
Rfam family: Bacterial small subunit ribosomal RNA
Source: RNAcentral
GGAUUAUGGCUCAGAUUGAACGCUGGCGGCAGGCCUAACACAUGCAAGUCGAGCGGAUGACGGGAGCUUGCUCCUUGAUUCAGCGGCGGACGGGUGAGUAAUGCCUAGGAAUCUGCCUGGUAGUGGGGGACAACGUUUCGAAAGGAACGCUAAUACCGCAUACGUCCUACGGGAGAAAGCAGGGGACCUUCGGGCCUUGCGCUAUCAGAUGAGCCUAGGUCGGAUUAGCUAGUUGGUGGGGUAAUGGCUCACCAAGGCGACGAUCCGUAACUGGUCUGAGAGGAUGAUCAGUCACACUGGAACUGAGACACGGUCCAGACUCCUACGGGAGGCAGCAGUGGGGAAUAUUGGACAAUGGGCGAAAGCCUGAUCCAGCCAUGCCGCGUGUGUGAAGAAGGUCUUCGGAUUGUAAAGCACUUUAAGUUGGGAGGAAGGGCAGUAAGYUAAUACCUUGCUGUUUUGACGUUACCGACAGAAUAAGCACCGGCUAACUCUGUGCCAGCAGCCGCGGUAAUACAGAGGGUGCAAGCGUUAAUCGGAAUUACUGGGCGUAAAGCGCGCGUAGGUGGUUUGUUAAGUUGGAUGUGAAAGCCCCGGGCUCAACCUGGGAACUGCAUCCAAAACUGGCAAGCUAGAGUACGGUAGAGGGUGGUGGAAUUUCCUGUGUAGCGGUGAAAUGCGUAGAUAUAGGAAGGAACACCAGUGGCGAAGGCGACCACCUGGACUGAUAC